Pelobates cultripes (western spadefoot toad) is the source of this 521-nucleotide non-coding RNA. Lineage: Eukaryota; Metazoa; Chordata; Amphibia; Anura; Pelobatidae. The record is from the annotation of a GenBank genome assembly.
CCCAGGGAUGCCACCCUCCAGCAAAAGGUAAGAAACUGGAAGGUGGGUUUAAAAAUGUUUAACGUGUGUCAGUAUGUCUGUGUGUGUGUUUCAGUAUGUCUCUGUGUGUGUCAGUAUGUCUGGGUGUGUAUCAGUGUGUGUGUGUGUCAGUAUGUCUGUCAGUGUAUGUGCCUGUGUGUAUCUCAGUAUGCCUGUCUGUGGGUGUCAGUAUGUCUGUCAGUGUUUGAAUCUAUGUCUGUCAGUGUAUGUGCCUGUGCGUGUCAGUAUGUCUAUCAGUGUAUGUGCCUGUGUGUGUGUGUGUCAGUAUGUCUGUCAGUGUAUGUGCCUGUGUGUGUCUCAGUAUGCCUGUCUGUGGGUUUCAGUAUGUCUGUCAGUGUUUGUAUCCAUGUGUGUCAGUGUAUGUGCCUGUGUGUGUCAGUAUGUCUAACAGUGUAUGUGCCUGUGUGUGUGUGUCAAUGUCUGUCAGUGUAUGUGCCUGUGUGUAUCUCAGUAUGCCUGUCUGCGGGUGUCAGUAUGUCUGU